AUUAAGAUGGCUGAUAAUAAGCAAUAAAUUGUAAAUUUAUUUAUGAAUAAAAUUCUCUUGAUA
RNAcentral lists this transfer RNA (63 nucleotides) under Vagitanus terminalis. RNAcentral describes it as "tRNA-Tyr". Lineage: Eukaryota; Metazoa; Arthropoda; Insecta; Hemiptera; Cicadidae. The record is from RNAcentral.